RNAcentral lists this ribosomal RNA (253 nucleotides) under uncultured bacterium. Its description in RNAcentral is "partial 16S ribosomal RNA". It matches the Rfam family "Bacterial small subunit ribosomal RNA", at positions 524 to 776 of the family's 1533-position model. The record is from RNAcentral.
GACAGAGGGUGCAAACGUUGUUCGGAAUGACUGGGCGUAAAGCGCGUGUAGGCGGCUCGGCAAGUCGGAUGUGAAAGCCCUGGGCUCAACCCAGGAAGUGCACUCGAAACUGCCGAGCUGGAGUCCCGGAGAGGAAGGCGGAAUUCUCGGUGUAGAGGUGAAAUUCGUAGAUAUCGAGAGGAACACCGGUGGCGAAGGCGGCCUUCUGGACGGAGACUGACGCUGAGACGCGAAAGCGUGGGGAGCAAACAGG